AAUGAAGUGCCUGACUAAAGGAUUACCUUGAUAGGGUAAAUAAAGUAAAAUUAACUUUUACCUUCAUUA
RNAcentral lists this transfer RNA (69 nucleotides) under Panorpa curva. RNAcentral describes it as "tRNA-Ile". Lineage: Eukaryota; Metazoa; Arthropoda; Insecta; Mecoptera; Panorpidae. The record is from RNAcentral.